RNAcentral lists this transfer RNA (76 nucleotides) under Burkholderia pseudomultivorans. RNAcentral's name for it is "tRNA-Ser". The record is from RNAcentral. Lineage: Bacteria; Pseudomonadati; Pseudomonadota; Betaproteobacteria; Burkholderiales; Burkholderiaceae.
AAUGCGGAUCGACCACGGUCCCGGCUACCGCGUCUACUACACGCGGCGGGGAUCGAUCUGGGUGAUCCUGCUUUGC